GACGAACGCUGGCGGCGUGCCUAAUACAUGCAAGUAGAACGCUGAAGGAGGAGCUUGCUCUUCUGGAUGAGUUGCGAACGGGUGAGUAACGCGUAGGUAACCUGCCUGGUAGCGGGGGAUAACUAUUGGAAACGAUAGCUAAUACCGCAUAAUAGCAGUUGUUGCAUGACAGCUGUUUGAAAGGUGCAAUUGCACCACUACCAGAUGGACCUGCGUUGUAUUAGCUAGUUGGUGGGGUAACGGCUCACCAAGGCGACGAUACAUAGCCGACCUGAGAGGGUGAUCGGCCACACUGGGACUGAGACACGGCCCAGACUCCUACGGGAGGCAGCAGUAGGGAAUCUUCGGCAAUGGACGGAAGUCUGACCGAGCAACGCCGCGUGAGUGAAGAAGGUUUUCGGAUCGUAAAGCUCUGUUGUAAGAGAAGAACGAGUGUGAGAGUGGAAAGUUCACACUGUGACGGUAUCUACCA
RNAcentral lists this ribosomal RNA (472 nucleotides) under Streptococcus mitis. RNAcentral's name for it is "bacterial SSU rRNA". It matches the Rfam family "Bacterial small subunit ribosomal RNA", at positions 28 to 485 of the family's 1533-position model. Lineage: Bacteria; Bacillati; Bacillota; Bacilli; Lactobacillales; Streptococcaceae. The record is from RNAcentral.